UUUAAAGGCUUCAAUUCAGUAGAAGCGUUACCAAACUCUCAAAACCCUUCAGAAUGUUGGAGCUUUAAUGGUGAAUGCGUUCCAGAAAUUGGAAGAGAGAAUGUACGGUGUGCUUUGCAAUAGUGAGAAAUCAUCAACAAAAGCGGCUGUGGAUGCUUUUGCUGGGAUGGGUGUUCAAGUUACCGUUGAAGAUUUUGUGCCUUUCAUGGGCAUGGUGGAGCAAACUUCUUAUGUGUUGCUGCUGCUGCUAAGGGUGUUGAAGGAUUUGAUGCCGAGGCUGCAAAGAAGAGGUUCUUUGAGAUAUAUUUAUUAAAGGUGAUUGAAAUUUCAUAUAUUUACGAAUAUCUACUCUCAAAGCAGAUUUCACUGGGCAAUCAUUUGUAGUAUGCAGACCGAAUUAUGGCAUAGGUGUCCCUGGUGCCUUUGAACUUUUCUCUCAGGUAUGUAUAACCUGUGAUACAACUUUACUAAAUGUGGACUUGCUCUUUCUGUUUUUGUUACUUCUCAUUAAUCUGGUGAUAUGGUACGCCAGUGUAAAAGCAGCGGUCUCAAAGUUGCUGUUGCAUCUAGUGCUUACCGAAUUAAAGUUGAUGCAAAGUGGCUGCAGCCGGUUUACCAAUAAUGAUGUCAGUUAACAUAAUAAACUUUGGCUGUGAAUAGUUGCUUCUCAUUCCUUUAAUAAUAGGCAUUCAAGAAACAGUGGAUUAGACUGAAUCAGCACAUAGCAAGAACUAUAUUUUUUUAAAUUAUAAGUGUAGAUAUGUUUUAUUGUAAAGAACUACCUUAUAUCUACUACACUUGGCGUAUAACUUCUGCAAUGGGAAUUACUGGACAUUAAAUUUUUUGCUGACAUAAUGAAUCUGUUAGUCAUGGAAUCAGGUGCUCAGACUCCAAAGGCUGUGAUCUUUCUUAUAUGGCCUUGGGCAAUCCUCCCCUUAUGAGUUAGCUUUUGUUGUUGAGUUAGGCCCACGGACCGUCUCUUUACACAGUAUCAGUGUCGGUCCCAUCAAUCCCUCGACCCCUGUUGUUAUGUUUCUCUUUCUCAAUAUUGAUCCCCCGUAUUAUGUUUUCUGUGCUUAGAUUUUCUAGUCCUGGGUGUGCCCCUAACUUUUUGUGGUUGAGUUAUGUUCAAGGUCCAUCCAUUUCUUCACAGUAUAUAUGCAAACACACACACUAUGCGUUGGUUUGUAAUGUAGUUCGGGAGGACGUAGUACUUUUAUUAAGGCUAAAGUGUACAACUCGGAUGAAAAUCACAGGUUUUGAUGCAAUUGUAUCUGCUGAUGCCUUAAAAAGUUUGAAGCCUGCUCCUGAUAUUUUCUUGGCUGCAUCACGGAUUCUUGAUAUUCCCAAUAGUGAGGUAGAUUCCAGGAUGUGCAAUGCUGUAUUGCUACCACCCAUCACCAUUUUUUUCUUUUUAGACACUUUUAUGUGGGUGGUAUGUGGUACUAACCUGAUGAGAAAUUUACAUUCAAAUUCUGUUUGACUGAGAGUUCCCUACAUUAUUAUCCAUUAGUAACUGUAAUAAUCAGAUGAAGCUAGCUGGAAAACAAAAUUUAAGCAAAGAAGAUACUACAAACUUGAUAAAUAUAUUGGCAACUUUUAUGUUGAAUAUUAUAUUCCUGGAUGGAAAAGAGAUGCUCUAUUGUCAUUCUAUCAGUCAGAACAGUUUUUCUAAAUAUGGAUAUAAAAAUGGGGGUGCAUUAUGAAUUGCUGAAGGUUCAUCUUCAAGGAUGAUGAAGUUUUGAAGUGUUAAAGUAGAUCAGUGUCCUGUUUGUCGAUCUUGGUAGACAUUAUCAUAAUUCUGUAUGUUGACAUUUGUGUUGUGAUUGAAGAUAAAUUAGCUGGAGUACAAGCUGCCAAAGCUGCGAAAAUGAGGUAUUUGUGUUUGAGUGCCUUUCCUUUAUAUAGUUGGACUAUGUACAAUCGUUCAAAGUUGUUGAUAUCACCAACCCUACAUGAACUUUCCUUCAUUUUUUCUGUCAACUGAAUCAGUAAGCUGUAUCAGCAUCAUUCUAAUGUACCUCUUUGCCUCUGUUUUUAGCGAUCAUUUUGAUUCCAUUUUUUCUACAUUCAUAAAUAUGUUGACUUACUUGCAAAUGUAUAGCUGUGACGACAACACUAUCAGAAGAUACUCUAAAAACAGCGGAGCCCACACUUAUCAGAAAGGAGAUAAGCGAUAUUUCACUUGAAAAUAUCCUCGAUGGUGGCUCUGGUAGCCAUAGUAUGUAGUGCACCAACAUGUUAAGAACUUCCCUUUUCGUGUACCAUUGACAAAUGCAGAAUACUGAAGCUCUUUUGUGUUAUUUAUGGAAAAACAUGCGAGUAAGCUCUUUUUUGUAAUGACUAUAACUUGUUGAAGGAUAUCCUGUUCUCUGCUCCCUUAAGCUGUAUGCUUUAGCUGCUAAUUGUUGUCUUUUACUUAGUUGAUGGAAAUUUGAUAGUUCUAGUGUUCCUCUAGCUUAUCAUGUGUGGUUAAUAGUGGCUCCCUUUUUAUGCUUACUAUAAAAUGAAUCUAAUGAUGACAAACAAUGCAGUUGCGGUGGUGCAGGAAUCUCAAUCCAUUAAUGAUCUAGCUCUCUAACACUAAAUCCAAUAUGAUGGAGUAUCUCAGAGCUGGAUUUUUAUCCAACAAGUGAAGCCUAGCAUGCUAGGUCAGAAAAUGCUUGGAUUUCAACUGACAAGUCUUGGUGCUUUCGAUGCUGAAGAAACAUUUCGGCCAGCCAUGAGGAUGAUAUAAGCAUCCAGUAUUCUAGUACUCCAGCUUUAACGUGAAACUUCGUAAGUAGGGCCGGAGACACGAGAGCAAAAAUCUCAGAGUUCAUCAACCAACAGGUAUCUGAGGAAAGACCCCAGCGUUUCAAUAAGAGGAAGGAGUUCAUAUCGGAUGUAUGUCAAGUUGGAAUGUGAAAACUAAAGAAAGUACUUGGGCAGAGUUCUGGUGCUAAGAAAAUCAGAGAUAUGGCCAUUAAUGCCUGGAAGACUGUCUGAAAAUGACAAAGAGGUACGAUGAAGUACUUAUCAUAUUGUUGCUAGCAGACCUGUGUUUAUUUAAACAUAAUUUUGGCAUUUAAGCAUUCAUGUUUCUUUCUCCUACUUCAACAAACAUACACAAAUUUAAGCAAGUAAAAGUUUUUCCUGGUUCAUCGUAUCCUUCCAACUUUUGCUGCCUUACAUUGGAGCAAGUAAGCUGGAUAAGGAAAGAUAUAUCCAAGAAAUGGCUGCUUAUGAACAGCAUAAGAACAAAGAAACUACAACAAAUCCAAACUUGCACAGGGGUUUGGCCCCAAGUAUGAUCAACUUUGGUGCACGGAAUUGAUCAUGGUUAUCAUGUGACUUCACAAGCUUAUACUGGAAGCAACAUUCUCCCUAAUGCAUCCUCUAUUGAGUCCACGGUACAAAUAUUGAAUAAUGGUAAGACAAGUAACCCCAUAUUUCAGAUGUAUUGGUGCUCUUUUGCCUAGUCAAUUUCAGUUGCUACUUUGGUGGGUUUUGAAAGAUAUGUAUAGCUUUCGAUCUGUAAGUAUCUUACAACCUUAGCAUGAUGCUUUUAAGAUGUAUAUAGCUUCUAGUCUUUGAAAACUAGCGUGUCAAGAAGCAGCAUUUGUAGGUUAGUUGGUAGUGGAGGGUUAUCUUGUUUUUUGAGGCGGCGUGUUGGUUUUAUUUUUGUCCUAGUUUUAUUAUUGUGAUUCUUUUAAUUUUUGAUAUCUUAUCACUGUCUGUUGUUAUUUACUGUGUUUUAAUGGUCACAUAACUUACAUAAUUCUCUUUUUUAACUGAUGUUGGUAAUUGUGUCUGUAAUACAAAGUUGAUUUUCUA
Molecule: non-coding RNA, 3816 nt
Organism: Solanum lycopersicum (tomato)
Lineage: Eukaryota; Viridiplantae; Streptophyta; Magnoliopsida; Solanales; Solanaceae
Source: RefSeq, a predicted model, not a curated record